RNAcentral lists this ribosomal RNA (231 nucleotides) under uncultured bacterium. RNAcentral's name for it is "partial 16S ribosomal RNA". It matches the Rfam family "Bacterial small subunit ribosomal RNA", at positions 15 to 228 of the family's 1533-position model. The record is from RNAcentral.
GAUCCUGGCUCAGGACGAACCCUGGCGGCGUGCCUAAUACAUGCAAGUAGAACGCACAGUUUAUACCGUAGCUUGCUACACCAUAGACUGUGAGUUGCGAACGGGUGAGUAACGCGUAGGUAACCUGCCUGGUAGCGGGGGAUAACUAUUGGAAACGAUAGCUAAUACCGCAUAAUAUUAAUUAUUGCAUGAUAAUUGAUUGAAAGGUGCAAAUGCAUCACUACCAGAUGG